CCAAAAUAGGUCUUAUAUUCAUGAAAUGAUAUUAGAAUGCAAUUCUAAUGGUGUAAUUUAAUAC
This 64-nucleotide transfer RNA is filed under the name Hierodulella sp. JZ-2017. RNAcentral's name for it is "tRNA-Cys". Lineage: Eukaryota; Metazoa; Arthropoda; Insecta; Mantodea; Mantidae. The record is from RNAcentral.